Molecule: long non-coding RNA, 3254 nt
Filed under: Homo sapiens (human)
Lineage: Eukaryota; Metazoa; Chordata; Mammalia; Primates; Hominidae
Description: HSALNT0143088
Source: RNAcentral
UCGAACUCCUGACCUCAGGUGAUCCGCCCGACUCGGCCUCACAAAGUGCUGGGAUUACAGGCGUGAGCCACCGCACCUGGCCCAUUUUGGUAGUUUAAUAACCACACACGCAGGACCAUCUAGGGCAAGUUCUGAGUUUGGGGGCUCCCUUGUGUAGUUCCUUCUUUUUGAAUCUGUGCUGAGGAUGAUUUUCUUUAGAUCGUGGCAGAAGUGGUACUAUGCUCAUUGCAGGCCUCAGUCUUAAGAAGUCCUAAUGACCUCUUCUUUUGUACUCUUGGGAAUCUUAAGCUGCCAUGUAAGAAGUUUGGUUGCCACUGAAGAGAUCACAUGGCAAAUCCACAUGAGGAGAAGCCCUGAGAUUACAUGGAAUGAGAGAGAGAGAGAGAUAGAGGAGAGGAGAGAGGAGAGAGAGGAGGGUAGGGGAGGAGGGAGAGAUCAAAUUGGCUGAAAACAAUAGCUGACCCCAGGCCCAGCUUUCCUGUAGCUAAAUGCAGCCACAAAAGUGACCACUGUAAAGACCAGCAGAAGAACUGCUCAGUUGAGCCCCAAACCAGAUUCCAGAACUGUGAGAAAAUGGAAUGAUUGUCAUUUUAAGCCACUAAAUUUGGGGGCGGUUUGUUAUGCAGCAAUAGCUAACCAAAUAGAAGUUAGCUCUCAGAUGUGGUUUCUUCUGUAACAAGAACACAAAGCUAGUGGCCAUGGCUUUUGGCCUGGGUGGUGAGUAGAAGCUGGAGGAGGCUCCAGGAGACUUAGUGAAGGCUGGAAGGGCAGUGAGCAGUUGGUAUUAGAGUCUGGAGAAAAAACAAUCUGUGUCAUGUAGUGGUUGAAAGUUUGGCAACAUGUUGACUAUAAAAGAUAGCAAAUGUGUCUAAAGAACUUGGGGAUCUGACUAAGAGACUAUUUCCAGACAGAACGUUGAAAGUGCUAACUGUCUUCUUUUAGCUGUGCCUGAUAAGGCACAAAUAGAGAGAGAAGGAUAAAAAAUAAAAGUGUCAACACAGGAAAACUUUCCAACCCAGGACUUACUGAGUUGGAAAAUAAAACUCUCUCCCCUUGCAGCUUUUCCAGUCUGCAAAAGGUUCCCAAAUGGCCUUGGGGGAAGAAAGAUCAAAUCUAAGAUGCUACCAGUAAAAUGGAACAUGUGAGUCAAGAUCAAGUCACAGGCCGGGCGUGGUGGCUCACACCAAAAUGCUGGUAAUCCCAGCAUUUUGGGAGGCCGAGGUGGGUGGAUCACGAGGUCAGGAGUUCAAGACCAACCUGACCAAGAUGGUGAAACCCCGUCUCCACUAAAAAUACCAAAAAAUUAGCCGGGCGUGCUGGUGGGUGCCUGUAGUCACAGCUACUCAGGAGGCUGAGGCAGAGAAUUGCUUGAACCUGGGAGGCAGAGGUUGCAGUGAGCCGAUAUCACACCACUGCACUCCAGCCUAGGUGACAGAGUGAGACUCCAUCUCAAAAAAAAAUAAAAAAUAAAAAAAUAAAAAAAAUAAAAGAUCAAGUCACAAGUGUGGCUAUAAGACCCUUUGUUAAGACCCCAGAAAGAUUAGCAGUAGAACCUCCUAGAACCUCAGCACUAGAUAAAAGUGUUUCCAAGAAUCUAAAGGACAUCUUCUCAUAGUACUCUGACCCAAAGUAUAAAGAGGUCUGUCACAAAGAGAUUUGUGAGUAUAGCUCUUAUCUAAUGGCAUGAAACCUAAUAAGACUUAUAGGAAUCCUACAUAGUCUUGAAGAGAACUAUAUUAGCAGAAACACAGAGUUGUACUAAAAGAAACAGCUCUGCGGCCAUAAAAAAGAAUGAGUUCAUGUCCUUUGCAGGGACAUGGAUGAAGCUGGAAGCCAUCAUUCUCAGCAAACUAACACAGGAACAGAAAACCAAACACCGCAUGUUCUCACUCAUAAAUGGGAGCUGAACGAUGAGAACACAUGGACACAGGGAGGGGAACAUGACAUACUGGGGCCUAUCAGGGGGUGGGGGGCAAGGGGAGGGAGAGCAUUAGGACAAAUAGCUAAUGCAUGCAUGGCUUAAAACCUAGAUGACAGGUUGAUAGGUGCAGCAAACCACCAUGGCACAUGUAUACCUGUGUAAAAAAUCUGCACGUUCUGCACAAGUAUCCCAGAACUUAAAGUAAAAUAAAUUAAAAAAAAAAGGAAAGAAAAGAAACAGCUCAACUUGAAAAGAGGCCUCUGGACUCUUUCUAAAGGCAGGAAACAGGAUGAGAAAGCUAUUCACCUACAGACACUGGCCAUCCCUUAUGGGAAAAGAAGAAAUAGUCAGAAAGCAGAGUAAGGAACCAUGAAGAACCACUCCCUAGGAACAUAACUGUCCCUGGAGCAGGGGUAAUUGGUGAUAUAUGCCUGUCUGGACUUCAGAAUUGCUGUGGACUGGCAAGUCCUGCAUUCCUUCCAUUCUCCUUCAUUUAGAUGAGAGUCUGCUGUGAUUAUUGUAUGCUGGUCUCACUGGUAUAUGGGGCGAAACAAUUUGUCUUCAGAUCUAGAAGAAAUAUACCCAAGGAGUCUUAUCUACACCUGGACUUGGUUUAGAUGACAAGAUCUUGAACCUUGAGCCAGACUGCUGCUGUAAUAUGGCAAUGGAGAAUCACCAGAUAAUUUUGCAUGGGGCAAUGACAUGGUUAUAUUUCCAUGUGAUGUCUUAUUUGGCUUGGAAAUCAGGUGCUGCUUCCCAGAGGAGGUAUCAGUUAACCUAGGACUGAAAGGAUGGAUUGGAUGUCACCCAGGGACGAAGCGACUGUGACAAGAUACAAGCACAGGGAUCCCAUGAGCUUGGCAGGAGUGUGUGAUCUCACUGCAUAGGUACAGACACAGCACUAAUGGAGGCUGAGCACAGAUGGCAGAACUGGAGACAAGCUCCCGGGAACCCAGGUCCCUGGGAGGUGGCCCUGGCCUGUGGGGUGAAAACACCAAGUCUGAGGCCAAGAGCAGAGCUGGCAUUUCCCAGGCUACAUGAUGAAGAUGAAGCUGCCUAUCUUUUCUGCUUCCCAUUUUUUUUUCUUUUUCUUAUUUAUUUAUUUUAUUUAUUUAUUUUUUGAGACAGAGUCUCACUCUAUUACCCAGGCUGGAGUGCAGUGAUGUGAUCUUAGCUCACUGCAACCUGUGCCCCCGCGUUCAAGUCAUUUUCAUGCCUCUGCUUCCCAGGUGGCUGGGACUACAGGCACAUGACACCACGGCUAAUUUUUUUUUUUUUAAUGGAGUCUUGCUCUGUCGCCCAGGCUGGAGUGCAAUGGUGCGGUCUUGGCUCA